GAUGAACGCUAGCGGCAGGCCUAACACAUGCAAGUCGAGGGGUAGAACACUUCGGUGUUUGAGACCGGCGCACGGGUGCGUAACGCGUAUGCAAUCUACCUUGUACAGGGGAAUAGCCCAGAGAAAUUUGGAUUAAUGCCCCAUAGUAUAUAACCUUCGCAUGUUGGUUAUAUUAAAGUUUAGGCGGUACAAGAUGAGCAUGCGUCCCAUUAGUUAGUUGGUAAGGUAACGGCUUACCAAGACGAUGAUGGGUAGGGGUCCUGAGAGGGAGAUCCCCCACACUGGUACUGAGACACGGACCAGACUCCUACGGGAGGCAGCAGUGAGGAAUAUUGGUCAAUGGUCGCAAGACUGAACCAGCCAUGCCGCGUGCAGGAAGACGGUCCUAUGGAUUGUAAACUGCUUUUAUACAGGAAGAAACCCUCCCACGUGUGGGAGCUUGACGGUACUGUAGGAAUAAGGAUCGGCUAACUCCGUGCCAGCAGCCG
RNAcentral lists this ribosomal RNA (488 nucleotides) under uncultured bacterium. RNAcentral describes it as "bacterial SSU rRNA". It matches the Rfam family "Bacterial small subunit ribosomal RNA", at positions 28 to 517 of the family's 1533-position model. The record is from RNAcentral.